GAAAAUUUAGUUAAUUAAUAACAACGAAAUGUCAUUUCGUAGUAAAAUGUAGAAUUUUAAUUUUCC
This 66-nucleotide transfer RNA is filed under the name Lepidotrigona flavibasis. RNAcentral's name for it is "tRNA-Asp". The record is from RNAcentral. Lineage: Eukaryota; Metazoa; Arthropoda; Insecta; Hymenoptera; Apidae.